This 253-nucleotide ribosomal RNA is filed under the name uncultured bacterium. RNAcentral describes it as "partial 16S ribosomal RNA". It matches the Rfam family "Bacterial small subunit ribosomal RNA", at positions 524 to 776 of the family's 1533-position model. The record is from RNAcentral.
UACGAAGGGGGCUAGCGUUGUUCGGAUUUACUGGGCGUAAAGCGCACGUAGGCGGAUCGAUCAGUCAGGGGUGAAAUCCCAGAGCUCAACUCUGGAACUGCCUUUGAUACUGUCGAUCUGGAGUAUGGAAGAGGUGAGUGGAAUUCCGAGUGUAGAGGUGAAAUUCGUAGAUAUUCGGAGGAACACCAGUGGCGAAGGCGGCUCACUGGUCCAUUACUGACGCUGAGGUGCGAAAGGUAGGGGAGCAAACAGG